GACGAACGCUGGCGGCGUGCUUAACACAUGCAAGUCGAACGGAAAGGCCCUGCUUUUGUGGGGUGCUCGAGUGGCGAACGGGUGAGUAACACGUGAGUAACCUGCCCUUGACUUUGGGAUAACUUCAGGAAACUGGUGCUAAUACCGGAUAGGAGCUCCUGCUGCAUGGUGGGGGUUGGAAAGUUUCGGCGGUUGGGGACGGACUCGCGGCUUAUCAGCUUGUUGGUGGGGUAGUGGCUUACCAAGGCUUUGACGGGUAGCCGGCCUGAGAGGGUGACCGGCCACAUUGGGACUGAGAUACGGCCCAGACUCCUACGGGAGGCAGCAGUGGGGAAUAUUGCACAAUGGGCGGAAGCAUGAUGCAGCAACGCCGCGUGCGGGAUGACGGCCUUCGGGUUGUAAACCGCUUUCGACUGUGACGAAGCGUGAGUGACGGUAAUGGGUAAAGAAGCACCGGCUAACUACGUG
This 468-nucleotide ribosomal RNA is filed under the name uncultured bacterium. Its description in RNAcentral is "partial 16S ribosomal RNA". It matches the Rfam family "Bacterial small subunit ribosomal RNA", at positions 28 to 507 of the family's 1533-position model. The record is from RNAcentral.